RNAcentral lists this ribosomal RNA (465 nucleotides) under uncultured bacterium. RNAcentral's name for it is "partial 16S ribosomal RNA". It matches the Rfam family "Bacterial small subunit ribosomal RNA", at positions 28 to 507 of the family's 1533-position model. The record is from RNAcentral.
GAUGAACGCUGGCGGCGUGCCUAACACAUGCAAGUCGAGCGGAGAAUUGCUGCUUGCAACGAUUCUUAGCGGCGGACGGGUGAGUAACACGUGGGUAACCUGCCCUAAACAAAGGGAUAACAAUGAGAAAUCAUUGCUAAUACCGUAUAAGCUUACACUAUCGCAUGAUAGAGUAAGAAAAGAUUUAUCGGUUUAGGAGGGGCCCGCGUCUGAUUAGCUAGUUGGAGAGGUAACGGCUCACCAAGGCGACGAUCAGUAGCCGACCUGAGAGGGUGAUCGGCCACAUUGGGACUGAGACACGGCCCAAACUCCUACGGGAGGCAGCAGUGGGGAAUAUUGCACAAUGGAGGAAACUCUGAUGCAGCAACGCCGCGUGAAGGAAGAAGGUUUUCGGAUCGUAAACUUCUAUCUACAGGGAAGAAAAAAAUGACGGUACCUGAGUAAGAAGCCCCGGCUAACUACGUG